CCCUUUUCUGCACAGAAGUCAAAAGCUGACCAGCCACCACCGACUUUCUGUCCCAUGGCAUCGAUGAAAUGGAGGACAAACCACAUGAGCUCCUCUGUGUUCAAACAAAUGUGGACACGGCUGUGGAUCCCCUCACAAUGAGUGAGUAUUCCGGAAGAAAUGUGCUUAGGCAAAGAUCAGAAGUCUCGUAAGAGGGGUAUGCGUCAUCUGCGGCUGUGUGGCCUCCAGAAAGGAGGAAGAGGAGAAGAAUCCCACCAUUUCCCGUCCUUUAAACAUUUUUUUCCCUAUUAAUUAUAUUUUUGCUGUUGAUUUUUUAUAAAUCAUGAAUCAAUAAUUUAUUCUAUUAAUAGUUUUUUUAAAUGAUUUUUUAAAAUAAAUUAUUGCAUUCCAAAGUUUGUCUUUGAGUUGUCAUUUUCCUAAAAAUAUAAGGUGACUAGAGCUCAGAUAUGAGCAAUGUGCACUCCAUGACAUCUGCUCAUUGGACAUGAAAACAGAAUGUGAACUUGAUCGCCCAUGGCAACACAUCCUAUCAACAGAUGGCGCCAUUGACCUAAACUCUGUGGUAGCUUUUAUUUACCCCUGAACUGUGCUACUGGAGCAUUUAGUUAUUCGUUCACAAGUGAAUGCAUUUCCAUUGAAAUAAAUAUUAUGACCAAAACAUGCAAAAACAUUUUUUUCCCCAUGGUAAUGUAAAAUCGC
Molecule: long non-coding RNA, 699 nt
Organism: Oncorhynchus nerka (sockeye salmon)
Lineage: Eukaryota; Metazoa; Chordata; Actinopteri; Salmoniformes; Salmonidae
Exons: 3
Source: RefSeq, a predicted model, not a curated record